Molecule: ribosomal RNA, 1536 nt
Filed under: Klebsiella pneumoniae
Lineage: Bacteria; Pseudomonadati; Pseudomonadota; Gammaproteobacteria; Enterobacterales; Enterobacteriaceae
Description: bacterial SSU rRNA
Rfam family: Bacterial small subunit ribosomal RNA
Source: RNAcentral
UUGAAGAGUUUGAUCAUGGCUCAGAUUGAACGCUGGCGGCAGGCCUAACACAUGCAAGUCGAGCGGUAGCACAGAGAGCUUGCUCUCGGGUGACGAGCGGCGGACGGGUGAGUAAUGUCUGGGAAACUGCCUGAUGGAGGGGGAUAACUACUGGAAACGGUAGCUAAUACCGCAUAAUGUCGCAAGACCAAAGUGGGGGACCUUCGGGCCUCAUGCCAUCAGAUGUGCCCAGAUGGGAUUAGCUAGUAGGUGGGGUAAUGGCUCACCUAGGCGACGAUCCCUAGCUGGUCUGAGAGGAUGACCAGCCACACUGGAACUGAGACACGGUCCAGACUCCUACGGGAGGCAGCAGUGGGGAAUAUUGCACAAUGGGCGCAAGCCUGAUGCAGCCAUGCCGCGUGUGUGAAGAAGGCCUUCGGGUUGUAAAGCACUUUCAGCGGGGAGGAAGGCGUUAAGGUUAAUAACCUUGGCGAUUGACGUUACCCGCAGAAGAAGCACCGGCUAACUCCGUGCCAGCAGCCGCGGUAAUACGGAGGGUGCAAGCGUUAAUCGGAAUUACUGGGCGUAAAGCGCACGCAGGCGGUCUGUCAAGUCGGAUGUGAAAUCCCCGGGCUCAACCUGGGAACUGCAUUCGAAACUGGCAGGCUAGAGUCUUGUAGAGGGGGGUAGAAUUCCAGGUGUAGCGGUGAAAUGCGUAGAGAUCUGGAGGAAUACCGGUGGCGAAGGCGGCCCCCUGGACAAAGACUGACGCUCAGGUGCGAAAGCGUGGGGAGCAAACAGGAUUAGAUACCCUGGUAGUCCACGCCGUAAACGAUGUCGAUUUGGAGGUUGUGCCCUUGAGGCGUGGCUUCCGGAGCUAACGCGUUAAAUCGACCGCCUGGGGAGUACGGCCGCAAGGUUAAAACUCAAAUGAAUUGACGGGGGCCCGCACAAGCGGUGGAGCAUGUGGUUUAAUUCGAUGCAACGCGAAGAACCUUACCUGGUCUUGACAUCCACAGAACUUUCCAGAGAUGGAUUGGUGCCUUCGGGAACUGUGAGACAGGUGCUGCAUGGCUGUCGUCAGCUCGUGUUGUGAAAUGUUGGGUUAAGUCCCGCAACGAGCGCAACCCUUAUCCUUUGUUGCCAGCGGUUCGGCCGGGAACUCAAAGGAGACUGCCAGUGAUAAACUGGAGGAAGGUGGGGAUGACGUCAAGUCAUCAUGGCCCUUACGACCAGGGCUACACACGUGCUACAAUGGCAUAUACAAAGAGAAGCGACCUCGCGAGAGCAAGCGGACCUCAUAAAGUAUGUCGUAGUCCGGAUUGGAGUCUGCAACUCGACUCCAUGAAGUCGGAAUCGCUAGUAAUCGUAGAUCAGAAUGCUACGGUGAAUACGUUCCCGGGCCUUGUACACACCGCCCGUCACACCAUGGGAGUGGGUUGCAAAAGAAGUAGGUAGCUUAACCUUCGGGAGGGCGCUUACCACUUUGUGAUUCAUGACUGGGGUGAAGUCGUAACAAGGUAACCGUAGGGGAACCUGCGGUUGGAUCACCUCCUU